GAGUAGUAAAAGCUAGUAUCUUUAAACUCAAAAAAUUUGGCGGUAUUUUAUCUUAUUAGAGGGGCCUGUUUAAUAAUUGAUAAUCCACAAUUGUAUUUACUUUUAUUAUUAUAUUUGUAUACCGCUGUCAUGAGUCUAUUAAAAAAUUUAUUUUAUUAUUUUUAUGUAAUAAAUGUUAGGUCAAGGUGCAGUUUAUAAAGAAAAAAUGGGUUACAUUAAGUAUUAUGAAUGUUUUUUAAAAAAGGAUUUAAAAGUAAAAUUAUACAAAAAUUAUAUGAAUAAAGAUUCUAAAAUAUG
Molecule: ribosomal RNA, 297 nt
Filed under: Trioza nigra
Lineage: Eukaryota; Metazoa; Arthropoda; Insecta; Hemiptera; Triozidae
Description: partial 12S ribosomal RNA
Source: RNAcentral